CGCCCUCAGGUGGAUGCAACGUGAGCCGCCGAGUGUCCCAGCACGUGGGAGUCCGGGCCCCCGCCCUCCCCGGCGAUGCCGCGCGCGCCCCGGUGCCGAGCUGUGCGCGCCCUGCUGCGGGGCCGCUACCGCGAGGUGCUCCCGCUGGCGACUUUCCUGCGGCGCCUGGGGCCCGAGGGCCGGCGGCUCGUGCAGCGCGGGGACCCGGCGGCCUUCCGCGCGCUGGUGGCCCAGUGCCUGGUGUGCGUGCCCUGGGACGCGCAGCCGCCCCCCGCCGCCCCGUCCUUCCGCCAGGUGUCCUGCCUGAAGGAGCUGGUGGCUAGGGUCGUGCAGAGGCUUUGCGAGCGCGGCGCGAGGAACGUCCUGUCCUUCGGCUUCGCGCUGCUGGACGGAGCCCGCGGUGGGCCGCCCGUGGCCUUCACGACCAACGUGCGCAGCUACUUGCCCAACACCGUGACCGAGACGCUGCGCGGCAGCGGCGCGUGGGGGCUGCUUCUGCGCCGCGUGGGAGACGACGUGCUCACCCACCUGCUGGCACGCUGCUCACUCUACCUGCUGGUGGCCCCGAGCUGCGCCUACCAGGUGUGCGGGCCGCCGCUCUAUGACCUCUGCACCACCGCCGCGGCUCGGCCUGUCGCGUACCCCGGCCACCGGCCCACACGACACGCAGGCGGGACCCAGACAGGCCUCGGACCCACGCGCCAGGUCUGGAACGGCGGCGAUGGGAAGGCUGGAGGACCCCUAGGCCUGCCAAGCCGGGGCGUGAGGCGGCGUCGGGCCAGCACUGGGGGAAGUCCACCUCCUGCCAAGAGGCCCAGGCGCGGCCUGGCUGGGGAACCGGAGCAGGGACCUGACGGGCAGGUGACCCGGGCGCACCUGGGCAGGGCGCAUGGGCCGAGCGACAGUGAUCCCCACGCCGUGACGCCUAGCAGAGCCGCCGCGGAAGCCCCAUCUUGGCAGAGCGAGCUGCGUAGGACUAGGCUCGCCUUCCCGCCUCUGGGCCGAGAGCGCGAGGCCAGCUCCCCACCCACGUGGCAGUCGCCUCGGCCUCAGGGUGUGCCCCGUCCCCGAGUGUACGCAGAGACCAAGCACUUCCUCUACUGCUCGGGUGGCAAGGAACGGCUGCGCCCCUCCUUCCUGCUCAGCUCUCUGCAGCCCAGCCUGGCGGGGGCACGGAGACUCGUGGAGACCAUCUUUCUGGGCUCGGAUACCGGGCGGCCGGGGGCUCCCCGCAGGACGCGCCGCCUGCCCACGCGCUACUGGCGGAUGAGGCCCCUGUUCCGAGAGCUGCUCGCCAACCAUGCGCGGUGCCCCUAUGGCGCGCUUCUCCGGAAGCACUGCCCACUGCGCAGUGCGGCCACCCCAGGGGUGCCUGGCGACCCGGGGCGCGGUGGAGUGGGCAGCUGCACCCGGGAGAGGCCAGCGGCGGCCCCCGAGGAGGACGCGGGCCCGCGGCACCUGGUCCAGCUGCUCCGCCAGCACAGCAGCCCGUGGCAGGUGUACGCGUUCCUGCGGGCCUGUCUCCGCCGGCUGGUGCCCGGGGCCCUCUGGGGCUCCAGGCACAACGAGCGCCGCUUCCUGAGGAAUGUGAAGAAGUUCAUCUCUCUGGGAAAGCACGCCAAGCUCUCGCUGCAGGAGCUGGCGUGGAAGAUGAGAGUAGGCGACUGCGCCUGGCUAGGGAGCCCAGAGGCUCGCUGCGUCCCGGCCGCGGAGCACCGGCUCAGAGAGGCGGUCCUGGCCAAGUUCCUGUGCUGGCUGAUGGGCACACACGUGGUGGAGCUGCUCAGGUCAUUUUUCUAUGUCACGGAGACCACGUUUCAGAAGAACCGCCUCUUCUUCUACCGCAAGAGCAUCUGGAGCCAGCUGCAGAGCAUUGGGAUCAGACAACACUUUGAGAGGGUGCAGCUUCGAGAGCUGUCGGACGCCGAAUUCAGGCGACAUCAGGAAGCCAGGCCCGCUCUGCUCACGUCCAAACUCCGCUUCGUCCCCAAGCCCAACGGACUGCGGCCGAUCGUGAACAUGGACUAUGUCGUGGGAGCCAGAACAUUCCGCAGAGACAAGAAGGCCCAGCAGCUCACCUCGAAAGUCAAGACGCUGUUCGGCGUGCUGAACUACGAGCGGGCACGCCGCCCCGGCCUCCUGGGGGCCUCCGUCCUGGGCCUGGACGACAUCUACCGGGCCUGGCGCGCCUUCGUGCUGCGCGUGCGGGCCCAGGACCCGGCGCCCCCACUGUACUUUGUCAAGGUGGAUGUGAUGGGGGCGUAUGACGCCCUCCCUCAGGACAGGCUGGCGGAGGUGAUUGCCAAUGUGAUCAGGCCCCAAGAGAACACGUAUUGUGUGCGCCAGUACGCUGUGGUCCAGAGAGGUGCGCACGGACACGUCCGCAAGGCCUUCAGAAGACAUGUGUCCACCUUCACGGACCUCCAGCCCUACAUGAGGCAGUUCGUGGAGCAUCUGCAGGGGACGAGCUCACUGAGGGACGCUGUUGUCAUCGAGCAGAGCUCCUCUCUGAACGAGGCCAGCAGCAGCCUCUUCGACUUCUUCCUACGCCUGGUGCACAACCACGUCAUCAGGAUCGGCGGCAAGUCCUAUGUCCAGUGUCGGGGGAUCCCCCAGGGCUCCAUUCUGUCCACUCUGCUCUGCAGCUUGUGCUACGGAGACAUGGAGAACCAGCUGUUUUCCGGGAUUCAGCAGGAUGGAGUCUACGGGAGGCAGGUGCUCCUGCGCUUGGUGGAUGACUUCCUGUUGGUCACCCCUCACCUGGCACAAGCAAAAACCUUUCUCAGGACCCUGGUCGGAGGCGUGCCCGAGUACGGCUGCGUGGCCAACCUGCGGAAGACGGUGGUGAACUUCCCCGUGGAUGACAGCGGCCUGGGCGGCGCGGCCCCCCUCCAGCUUCCAGCCCACUGCCUGUUCCCCUGGUGCGGCCUGCUGCUGGACACCCGCACCCUGGACGUGUUCUGUGACUACUCCAGGUGAGCAUGCCCAGCAGUGGGCGCAGUCGGUCCAGUCUGGCUCCCGCUUCCAUGGAUGACAGGCGGCUGCAACCCCAAAAGGUCGGAGGCCUGUCUUCCCGUCCACAGGUGGGCAGAAACCCGUCCUUCUUCGGGCAUGAGGGGACUUGCACCACUAGGGGAGCAGUUGUCUGGUUUUUGUCAAAGGAAAUUGUGCGGCAGCCUCGGGGCACCAGCAUGUUCCGUGGGGAAGCAGGGCUGUGGCACAUGGGGCUGGCUCCAUGCGCUACCGUGGGUCCCUGUCUCCGUCAGCUCAGGCUGCCAUAAAAAUACUGCGGACAGGUGACGUAAACAACAGACCUGUGCCUUCUCUAGUUCUGGAGGCUGGACGUCCGAGGUCCAGGUGUGGACAGGGUGGGUUAGUCCGGAGGCCUCUCUCCCGGGGUGUAGACGGCCGUCGUCUCCUUUUGUCCUCACACAGUCGUCCCUCUGUGCUUGAGCAUCUCUCUGGUGUCUCCUCUUCUUAGAAGGACACCUGCCACGUUGCGUUAGGGGCCCCCAUGACCUCAUCUAACCUCAGUUACCUUCUUAACAGCCCCAUCUCCAGACAUGGGGUCAGGGCUUCACCCCAUGAAUCUGGGGGACAUAGUUCAGCCCCUGAGCCCGAGAGCCCACAGCUCAGCCUCAGGCCCCGCACAGACAUGAACGGACUCAGACAGACCCGGACGAGGAGCCUGUGCUCACUGUCUCGGUUGAAGGCACAGAUUCCAGACCACGGUGGAAGGCGGGCGUCCCUCCUGUGUUGUAAUUCCAGUUCUGGCCUGAGUACGCCGGGUCUGCACUUGUGCUGGUUCCCAGGCUCCUUGGGAAUUUUAUCUGAAAGGGAAAAAGCAGGCACAGGCGCUGGCUGUGUGCGGCCCGGAUGCGUCCGUCUGUCUCCUGCCUCCCACUGCUCUUGUGCACUCGCACCUGCGCUUCUGUCUCCUGACCCCGUUCCCUGCCCACUGGCUCUGUCACCCCAUCCUCAGGCCUCGGCUCGGCCUCCGGGCUUCCAACCCUCCCCGCCCUCCACCAGCUUCUCCCCCACAGCCCGAGGUCCCCGUCCCUCACGUCGGCAGUUCCCCGGUGCUCCGGCCGCUGGAUGCUGCCAUUGGGUAAUUUCUAGAAAUGUGUCCUGAAGAAAAAAUCAGAGACAUGAUCCCAGAUUCUAUUUGACCACUUUAAAUGCUUGGGCAGGGGCCUUAGCACAGAGACGAAACGACCGAAAUAGACGGCCGAGUAGAUGUCACGCGUCACCGAGAUGCCUUGUUCUGCCUUAAAGUUGUUUUCAAAGAACAUGGAAUAUUAGGAAAAGCUUAUUUCGGGAUGAGAGUGUUUGAAGCUGAUGUAAAAGGUCCCACGCGGAGUGGACUGUGUGUGUCUCAUCUGCUCUGCGUGGACCCCUGCCUGUGGGGAGUGAGUGGCGGGCACCACGGGUGUGGGCAGUGCGGCCUCUUCCCUUCCACGUCCCGUGACGCCCACAUUCCCCUCGAGGACUGCACGGCCCGUGGGCCAGGUCGGCCAUGGGAUGUUGGUGGGGCGUGCUUCGUCUCCUGGUUGCGUGGACGGACAUGUGUCUGCAGUGUGAUCAGAGUGUGCGUUUGAUGGCGCAGGGUGGGCAGGUGCGUGUCUGGCCCCACGCGGCUCACGCCCGCCAUCGUCACAGGUACGCACGGACCUCCAUCAGAGCCAGCCUCACCUUCCAGCAGGGCUUCAAGGCUGGCAGGAGCA
Molecule: non-coding RNA, 4724 nt
Organism: Equus caballus (horse)
Lineage: Eukaryota; Metazoa; Chordata; Mammalia; Perissodactyla; Equidae
Source: RefSeq, a predicted model, not a curated record